Molecule: unclassified non-coding RNA, 263 nt
Filed under: plant metagenome
Description: partial contains small subunit ribosomal RNA, internal transcribed spacer 1, and 5.8S ribosomal RNA
Source: RNAcentral
UUUCCGUAGGUGAACCUGCGGAAGGAUCAUUAUUGUAUAACCGAGGUGCGAGGGCUGUCGCUGACCCGAAAGGUCGUGCACGCCCGAGUGCCCUCACACGCAUCCAUCUCACCCCUAUGUGCACCACCGCGUGGGUCCCCCUUUGGCUUGUUCGGAGGGGGGCUUACGUUUUCACACAAACUUUGUAUGCAGUGUAGAAUGUAUUUUUUGUUUUUGCGAUCACGCAAUCAAUACGACUUUCAACAACGGAUCUCUUGGCUCUC